UUUUACAUAAGUUGCCAUUUUUACAUAAAUCCCUAAUUACUGCCCCAACGCCAUUUCCAUGAGCAUUAGAAGCUCCAUCAAAAACCAUGGUCCAUCGGGAUCCAGGCUCAGGUCCUUCCUCGGGACCGGGGAUGUUGCAAUCCCUAAUCAACAUGAUAUCCUCGUCGGGGAAUUCAAAACGCAUAGACUGAUAGUCCUCCAAGGGCUAUUGUGCAAGAUAAUCAGACAAUACACUCCCUUUGAUGGCCUUUUGAGUGAUAUGUUGGAUAUUGU
RNAcentral lists this long non-coding RNA (273 nucleotides) under Lathyrus oleraceus (garden pea). RNAcentral's name for it is "Pisum sativum (pea) long non-coding RNA (PSAT_LNC001231)". The record is from RNAcentral. Lineage: Eukaryota; Viridiplantae; Streptophyta; Magnoliopsida; Fabales; Fabaceae.